CGCAGAAUUGCGGGCACUCCGAGGGUGGUCCAGCGCGCGUCGGAGUCGUCGCGCUCUCCGAUCGGGAUUCGCGAACGUGUCUUCGCCGUGGCCGUCGCUGUCGCUGUCGUCGUCAUUGCCGUCGACACUGUCGUGUGUGUCGUGUCGCGCUCUCGUCGCGUCGUUACCAUCACGAGGGAGUCAGCCUGUUUUUUUCCUCCCGGUUGUUCAACCUGGUGUCGAAUUUUCGACGAAACGUGUUUGCGCGCGCGCGCGCGCGUCUGUGUGUAUGUGCGGCUGAGAGAAGUUUCGAGGAAGUUGCCGACGUGGGGAAUUGGGGAAAGUCAAGCGGCAAAAGUGCGCGAAUGUGCGCGAUCGGUCGACGACAUCGUGUUGUUUCGACGGACCGGUUGUGUUGCAGCAUCGCUAAAUAGUUGCGUGGUUAGGAGAGGGACGAGAGAAAAAUCAUCGACCAAGAAAAUUUCAUACACCGGGACUGACCCUUGACUUUGCGUUGCCUCGAUUUACGAUCGCGACACGACCUCGCGAGUAAGAAGAAGCCAUCGCCGGCGGGAAAGUGCAUAAAGCGAGUGCGAAACCAUUUACCAGGCUCCUUCGUGCGCUUUUUUUUAUUUUGUUCCCCCAUUGUCGGUUUUAUUACCAUUUUAUGUCGAAGACGAGGCUGGCGAGAGAAAGCGUGUAAACGCGCGAAUCGGCUCGGUAAUCGAAUUCCCUCUCCAAGCCAAGUCGGUUUCUGCACCAAGUGGACUCGUUUUAGUUUGCUAAUGUAAAUUGCAUUGCCGAUGAAAGCUUCUUAAAACGUGAGAUUGAGUUAUUUAGUUUUGGUAAAAUAAUAGAAAAAUAUGUUAUAAAAAUUUAUACGUUAGAAGUUUGACAGAGUUGAUUGCGCGCGCGUAUGUGUGUGUGUGUGUGUGUAUGCGUGUGUGUGUGUGUGUGCGCGUACAUGAGUACGCUAAAUACGUUCAUAGAAAUUCAGUGCCACAUCCACUUGACGAUAGACCACAGUUUGACUGAUUAAAUUGUCCAAGAGGCGUGUGUCGCUUUGUACUCAAACGCUAUGCGUCUCUUGAAUGACCUAGUAGCUGCAAAUUAGUUCAGGUUCUACAGAUAACCGCUUUAUUGGGAAAUGGCCUUGCAUACGGCAAUGAGAUUUGAACAACUCUUAAUUUAACUCGUCGAUAAUCGAUCACGAUAAUCAUCAUAAUCAGCAAAUUAUUCUGGAUCGAUGAAAGAAAUAAUAACUGUAAUUUUUCUAAUACUGUUUAGCAGCAUUAAACUGAUUAUCGUUUCAUUAUCACGAUCGCGCUGCCAUUAAUAGAUCGCCUGUAGUUUUCCGUCUGGGAAACAUAUUUCCGGAAAUAUAUGCACGCGGUUUGGCAUGCAUUGGCUUGAUUGCACGUGCGAUCGCGUGUGGGAGACUCGCGUGGUCCACAAUCCGCGACGAUCUACUAACGAUUCACAACGUCUAUAGUGAUUGACAGUUCGCAACACGCUCGAAAUAAUUUGCGUGGCCUCGUUCGACGCUCAGAAAAAAUCAAUGCGAAUACAUUUAAACGAUAUUUAAUUGAUAUUAAUUUUCUAAAUUAUUUUUUGCCUCUCUCUCUUUUUCUUUCUCUUUGAUUUAGCACCGAGUGUAAUGCAAAUCAAAUAUCAAAGGACAAGAAAAAUAGAGAGAAUUACUGCUCUACAUCUUUCAGGAAAGUUGGCACAAGCGUUGACACGAAGCAGAAAGUAAGAUGCAAUACAGAGAUUACCAUCUGUUGGAUUUAAUGAGUCAUAAUAUGAUAUGAUACUCUAAACAGCGCUCUUCGCUUUACAAAAUGUACUCCGUCGACCGCCUUUUUUCGUUGCGUUAUAAUCGCCAUAUUUACUGCUGCAAAUAAAUUAUUUGUGCAAGAUCCGCACUUUUGUCGCCGUAUUUGAAAACGAAAAUUUACAGAACGCUAGUAUAAAUUCUAUUAUAACAAUUAAACUGAUUAGGCGCGUUUCAUGUGUUUAAUCCUACAUUUAAUUACAGACAGACUUUUAAUUAAAAUUACGUUAAAAACACACACACACACACACACACACACACACACACACACACACACACACACACACAUAUAUAUAUAUAUAUAUAUAUAUCUGUCGCAGAUUGAACUUUGCCAUAAUAUAACUGAUAAUCAUAUCAUUAUAUUUCAAGACUUACACGUUAAUAAAUUAUUGAGAAACGCGAUCCAUUUUCAAUAAACGAAUUCCAUUUCCUAACGAUUUAAUCGAUCGCUUUCAGCACCAUAAAAAAUUAAAUAUCAAGAGAAACAUAUCUCGCGGUUAAUGUAUUUUCUAUUAUAUAAAAUAUCUACCUUUAUACGUUCUGGAAUUUUAUAUAAAACCAGAAUAAAUCUGGCGCCGAACCAGAUAGUCGAUAGAUUCGAGCAGAAAUAAUGUAAAGGUACACUUUGAAGAAUUCUUGAUGCAAACUGUAAUUUCUCGCUGGCAUUUUUCCGGAAUCAUCCACGCAUGCCGGAACGAAAUGGAACAUUCUCGUAGAAUCGACACGGGACACGUUUCGCCUGGCGAGACGUCGGGGUUUCGCCCUCGACGAGAUCGAUCGAUCGCCCGCGUCGUCGUCGUCGGCAUCUCGCUCUCUCUCGCAACAACUUAAUACUCGGAAUCUCGUUCCACGUGUAGGCCCGGGCUCAGCCUCUCGCUCGUAAAUACACCCGGGGAACGCGUAAAAGUCCGGGGGCCCGGUCGUGACGCCCGCGAGAUAAAGAGAGACACCCAGGUGGCGAGUGCGAAUGCUCGAGAAUGACUCAAGCGGACCUAUUAUGAGAAAGAAAGCGCCAGCCAUUCGCGCUGCAAAUGCACAAUAUUUUAGGCGUAGUUAUAGACGCACAGGGAUACAGACGAACGCCUACGAGAAUGUUUUUAAUGUAAAAAAAAAAGUACUCUAUUUUAAUGCGACGUCUAGUUGAGUCCUCAGAGGCAAGAAUUUGAAAGCGGAUGAAAUUUUAUCUACGUACAAAAAUCUUCCGUCGCAAUGAAGAAAAAAAGAAAAAUAGCAGGAUAUUAUAAUAAAACAUUUCUCUGACUAAUUGAAGGUUUCGAAGAAGUAAUUAAAGCGUUAACCCUUGCCUCGUGUAAAGUGAAUCAUCUGUUCACAUUGUCAUAUUUGAACAGGCGUUUCGGAUCACUCGUUGUUGAGCUUCAUAAGUUAUUAAAUAUCCGUGAGAAAAUUAGAAGAGAAAUGCUAUGGAAAUUUUAAAAUUUGCAACAAUGUUUGCCGCACAAUGAAGUUGAUUUACCGUCUGUCGUGUCACGUCCGAGAAAGAAUGCUUUAAAAAAGCAUUCUAUUUAAUUUCCGUUUAAUGAAAGCAAUUAUUCAGAAUGUGGAGACAAAAAUUUCGAAACAAUGUUCAACGAGUAUGAAACUUUUAUAAAUACUUUCUGCACGAGAAACUCUUUUUAUGCUGAAAUUAUAUGUAAAUUAAAUGUCGAGAUCGCGUUUCUCGAUUGUAGCCUCUAUUUUAUUAUUUGGUGAAUUUUAGCGGAGCCCCGCAGAACGGGCCCGACCACGCGGUGGAGAGAGAAAGAGAAAGAGAGAUCAGAGAACAGUCUCUACGAACACAUGGAUCGAGAGAAUAGCGCACGUCGGAUACACCGUCGUGAUAAAUCAUUAACCGGGCGUGUUUAUUGGCCAUGCUCGAGCAAGUCUCGACCGGUGCUUGAUUUAUUAUUGUCCGGCAUCGAUGCCGAUCGGUCGGCGUUCGAUCGGUCGUGACUCGCAAAUCGGGCGCAACAGGCGGGUCCGGGCGCCCGAUACGGAAGCUCAAAGGAACGGAAUUAGGUGCGAGAUCGGCGUGGGCGAUGAAUCCUUUCGUGGGAAGAGCUGUGGGUAAAAGCUGCGGGAUAGAAAGGAUUGGCAUGUAUAAUAGAGGAGUCGUUUGUAUUGGAUCGUCGUCGUCGUCGUCGUCGUCGUCGUCGACGUUGUCAUCAUGGGGGUCAAAAGCGAGAGAUUAAACAUUUUAGCAUCUCAAAUAUUUUUACUCCGUAACCCAGUUUUGCGCGCCGGAGAGAUUCUCUUCCCUACGUAAAAUAGCAAAGAGUUAUCCUCUCUGCUACGUCGAGACCCCGACAACUUAGGUGUUCGGGGGGGAAAGAAAAAGAAAGCAAAGAAGGGAAAAACUGUUUUGCCGGGAGUAUGCGUUACGUGUGGCGGCGACAUCGAUUCCUCGCGCGGUCCCAUUUCCCGAUCGGAGCUCUACAGGUUAAGUGAUGUAAAUUAGACCGACCCGCCGUCUGGUAUUGAAGUUCCAUGUACACCGCGAAGUAAACUACCGCGGUCGUAGGCUCCGUCUCCAUUCUUCCUUGACACGUGUACGCGAUAAAGUGCACGCGACGGUCUUCCUUCCCUCUUGACAUUACACCGGUUGCGCAGAAUUGUACUCGAGUUCAACAUUUCGCGUGCCAGCUGUUUUUUAUUCGCGCGCGUUAUAUUAUUUUUUUUUCUAUUACCUCGUAUUGAGAAAAUAAUACAAAUUUUAAUGGGAUUAAAAACAGUAGACCAGAAACUAGACCGCUUAAUCCUGUCAUACGCAUAUAUGAACCGUUUCCAGCAGUACGUCAGCCCUCGGUAUUCGUGAAAAAUGCAGCCCGAGAAUUUCCAUCGCGCGCAAUCCGCGGGCGAGCUUUUAUACGGGAUCUACCAUAAUCCCUUCAUCGUACCGCAAAUGGGUACAGUUUGUCUCUUCGCUAUUUCGUGACAUUCUAUCGUUCUCUCUCGCAUAUUAUAUUUCGCGAGCGACGCAACGAGUAGCUUCCGAGUAUCGAGUUCAUUUAUACUUGUCCCGCUAUAUUAAUUAAAAAGAAACGGCGGACGAGUCUACGAGAACGGCUUCUAAGUUCCUCCUGGUCGGAACGGUCUACCUCUCGUAAUGUCUAUCGCGGGACGCGUCGUAAAAGACUGGGAAAAAAAUACUUCCAAGGCCGCGAAGAGUCAUUUCGGUCGGUCGAUCGCGGGAAUCGAUAAAUCGUCUCGCGCAAUCAGGAUGCGGCUGUUAUCGCGAGCGAAUGUUCGUCGAUUUGUGAAACUCACGCCUGGAUAUAAACCGCGGUGCGUUUACAGCUCCGCUCCUCCAAGUUCCUCCGAAGCCUUAAAAGAGUGACGCGCGGAAAUAAGACGCGACGCAAACAGACGUAUGUUCCCUAAAUCAUAUUACGGAAUUAUAUUCCGCCGGCGCGACGAGGUUGUUACAUGUAUUAUGACUUUGAUAAUUCUUGAUAUUGUUAUCUUCGACUUAAUCUGAUACCGUUCUGUAGCGCAUUAUCGUAUUGGAUUAAAAGUAUCUGUCGCAUAAUGUCCGUCUCUUGAGCACACACGAUAGACACGCGUCUAAUAAAAAUCGAUUCGCAGCUGAUAGGAUUGUCUCGGCGAUUAUAAACGUAGUUUAUAAAUCUCGGGACUGAAUUGAAUUUUGCGGUUUACGAUUUUUCUGCCAUUUCAAUUUCGCUUAAUGUCUGCCGCGCGUUUUCUCCGAUUUCACUGAUUUCCUCCGUUCGAACGCCUCGGGCAGUCGCCAUUUAUCCGAGACCACUCGUCUUAUCUUAUCAAUGUUAUCGAAGCUCGAAUUGCGCCCACGCUUUUCUUCAAGGUUUGAGGCAAACGUUUUCUUCGAUAGUCGAUUAUUUUUUUUAUUUUUUUUUUUCGGAGUAAGUAACUUUAUCUUCCUUUAUUUAUUCUAGCAGAACGUUUUAGAUGCAUUUUCCUGAUUACCUCGAAUUGAUUAUCUAAUUGAACAUAAAAAAAA
Molecule: long non-coding RNA, 5789 nt
Organism: Monomorium pharaonis (pharaoh ant)
Lineage: Eukaryota; Metazoa; Arthropoda; Insecta; Hymenoptera; Formicidae
Exons: 2
Source: RefSeq, a predicted model, not a curated record